UUUCCGUAGGUGAACCUGCGGAAGGAUCAUUAUUGUAUAACCAAGGUGCAAGGGCUUUCGCUGACCCGAAAAGUCUUGCACGCCCGAGUACCCUCCCACACAUCCAUCUCACCCCUCUGUGCACCACCGCGUGGGUCCCCCUUUGGCUUGUUCGGUUGGGGGCUUACGUUUUCACACAAACUAUAUAUGCAGUGUAGGAUGUAUUUUUUGUUUUUGCGAUCACGCACGCAAUACAACUUUCAACAACGGAUCUCUUGGCCCUCGCAUCUAUGAAAAACC
This 279-nucleotide unclassified non-coding RNA is filed under the name plant metagenome. RNAcentral describes it as "partial contains small subunit ribosomal RNA, internal transcribed spacer 1, and 5.8S ribosomal RNA". The record is from RNAcentral.